CCCUUAGAUGUCCUGGGCUGCACGCGCGCUACACUGAUGUGUUCAAUAAGCACCUAACCUACUCCGAAGGGACUGGGUAACCUUUGCAAAGCACAUCGUGAUGGGGAUAGAUUAUUGCAAUUAUUAGUCUUGAACGAGGAAUUCCUAGUAAACGCAGAUCAUCAAUCUGCAUUGAUUACGUCCCUGCCCUUUGUACACACCGCCCGUCGCACCUACCGAUUGGAUGGUCCGGUGAAGCCUCGGGAUUGUGGUUCUUGCCGCUUUAUUGUGGCGUGACCGCGAGAACUUGUCUAAACCUUAUCAUCUAGAGGAAGGUGAAGUCGUAACA
Molecule: ribosomal RNA, 328 nt
Filed under: uncultured eukaryote
Lineage: Eukaryota
Description: partial 18S ribosomal RNA
Rfam family: Eukaryotic small subunit ribosomal RNA
Source: RNAcentral